UUGAGCCGCAUGCGGGGGAACUCGCACGUGCGGUUCUUAGGGGGGGCUAGUAGGAGCCAUCCUAUCCCAAU
Molecule: non-coding RNA, 71 nt
Organism: Gossypium hirsutum (cotton)
Lineage: Eukaryota; Viridiplantae; Streptophyta; Magnoliopsida; Malvales; Malvaceae
Source: Rfam